Molecule: long non-coding RNA, 2996 nt
Organism: Cannabis sativa
Lineage: Eukaryota; Viridiplantae; Streptophyta; Magnoliopsida; Rosales; Cannabaceae
Exons: 4
Source: RefSeq, a predicted model, not a curated record
CAAACUUCAUUCAUUCAAACCAAACAUUCAAAGGGAGCCAACAAUUGUUUCACCUUAAGCAAAGCAAAUCCACGACCAACUCAAGCCGUGGCCAUCUAUUGGUGAAGGGAGAAGAGUUUUUCAAAAAAUUUCAAGGCUUUUUUGAAUUCUUUAAGGAACAAAAAGAGGAUUGUGGGAUCCAAAGCCAUGUCAUCAAAUAACGUGCUUGUAGAUGUAGAAGAAUUUUCCAGUAGUCAUCCUUCCCCUAGUACCAGCAAACCUACCCAAAGGAAUAGGACUAAGACUAAUGCUGUGAGAGUAUAUUUUGAAGCAAGUCGUAUCGCCUCUUAUUUCGAAAGUAUGUUCUAGGUUUGUGAUUGUGUCAAAGUCCAUGAGCUUAGCUUUGGUGGCAAAGUGUUCGGUAGAGCUCCUGCAUCCAAUGAGCACAGUUGUUCCCCUCCACAUGAGAAUUGUAUGUGUGAGGAUCCUCCCUACUCAUGGGGCGGGCAUGCUUCCAUUGGCCUCCUACUUUUGGAACAUUCUUGGAGCCUUGGGACUGGCUCCCUUUCAGUUGUCUUCCAAUAGUUAUAGGAUUUUCGUAGGGCUUAAGUCUCUUUACCAUAUGUUGGAGCUUGGAAACCCAACACAUGCGAAGGUGUUAUACAUGUAUCAACCGAGGGCCUAUCCUACUGGGAAGAGAAAACACGGCAACAUAUUUUACUAUCUUAGUUGUGUGACAACUCCAAUAAUAAUAGAAGGCCUUCCCAAUCAGCCACUUGACAAGAAGAAUGAGUUCUUCUAGAUGUGGGAUCCACCUGGCAACCAUGGCUUUAAGUGCAUAAGUACUACACAUUGCACUUUGGCUCCAUUCGAUAAUUAUUAUUUGUUUUUUGUAAGUACUUACUUGCAUUCUUGCCUUUUUAAGGGUCAUUCCCAUCCAACCAUAGGACUAGUUGAUUGAGAGAGUGAGUUUUAUUUAGAUCAUUGAUGUCCACAAGUGAAACCUUCUCUUUCUCCUCCAUGAAAACCACCUUAGAGUAUGUGAUCCAACUCAUCCUUCUCAGAAACAACGAGCCAAACUAGUGUUGACUCUUAACACCCCUGUCUAAGCCCUGUGCCCUGAGCACAAUGAGUGUGAAACCAGCAAGCCGGGAGGUAAAGUGUGUGACUUGUAUCUUAGGCUUUCAAGUAGAGCUUGGUGGUCCUCUACACUUCUCUCUAAGCAUCUCCCCAUUUAUACCCAUAAUGAUCAUAAAUAUACCUUGCCUCUGUAUGACGAAGUAGAUGGGAAAGUCCAUAGGUGGGAUCAUUUGUCGAUGAUUAGGGAGAUGCUCUAUGCGAGCAUCCCCACUUUAAAGGUAUUGUAUGCAUUGGGGUUGGAUCAAAUGGCUCAAACCUUAUGUUUGGAAAAGAUAAAACUUUAGUGCUUCCCUUGGAGAGAGCGCAUAUAGCUUUAGGAAAAGGUCAUUCCUUUAUUUCCUUGCUUAAUGUCUUGACGUGACUUGGAUAUAUGCUUGUGGUUGCAUUUUGCCUUUAUGUUGUUUCCCAUAAUUAUGAAAUGCACUUAGCUUGCUGUUUCAUAAUUCUUGUAGUGGUUGACAUGUGCAUUUCCCUUUGAUGAAAAAGCCAUGCCUCCCCCUCCGGCUAAGUAACCUUCUUCAGCUACAGUUGCUCCAUUCCUAAAGGUCUUACUGAAUGCCACUGCCGCACCUUCACAGGAAGUCUCCACAUCUGCAGGCCCCUCUCCUACAGCCGCCUCACCAUUGGGCUUGGGCUGAUCUAGCUUGUUGCCUUUAGUGGCUAUUGUAGCAUUACCUACGAGGUCGUCUGUUCCAUUGGUGGCUCCUCCCUUUAAGUAGCCUCGGGACCUAGUCAUGGGACCAUCACCUAGUACUGCCGCAGACGAAAAUAUUUUCUAGGAGUUAGCCCAGGGUCUCGUAUUCCAGGAAAAGGCCUCUGAUGCUUACGUUGCCCAGAGUGGGGAAGUGUUAAAAAACAUUAGCACCAGAAUCUCGACCUUACACACUUCAACCAGUGGGGCCUUUGAUAGUGACCUCGUCCCAAUCAAUAAUUUGGAUCAACAAUGCUUUGGCUCUCUCACUAUGAGAAGUGUAAAGACCUUGAGAAGCAUAAUUCGGAAGCCACAUUGAAAAUUAAGGAGCUUGAAGAAAAGCUUGCUCCUUCUCAAGAUGCAUCUAAGAAGAAGUUAAAAGAAGCAGGCACCAAGUAGAAGGCUACUGAAGACAAGGCUAAAGCCAAAAAUGAUGAGCUUGGUACCUUGAAUGCCAAGCUUCUUAAACUUGAGGCUGAGUGAAAACUCUUGAGUGACAAUUAUGUCAUAGCCAAUGGUAAGCUGGAUUCGGAGAACAUAAAUGCCUUGGAGAUUAUUGAGUAACUUAAGAUAGAUUAAAAGGUAGAUUAAUCGCAUUAAAACUUAUACCAAGGAAAACUCCGCGGAAUUUCUCAUAUUAUGUUGAUGCUAGAUGACUUGGACUUCAAGUUCAUGAGUAAAUUUUUAGGUGAGUUCGAGGAACAUUGUCGCAAGGACUGAGGCGACUGCGACUGAGGAGAAGGGAAAAGAGGCCACUUCUCAACCAGCCCCAAAAUCUUGAGAAGAGGAAUGACAUCGGAGAGUGGUGGGAUGUUGGCAGUGCUCCCCCUUGGAGUGGUAUUUCAUGCAAAAGCUGCCAUGUGGCAGUGCUCUCCAUGGAAUGAUAUUUCAUGCAACAGUUGUCAUGUAGCAGUGCUCUCCAUGCUUUACUUUAUGCAUUUUAUUUUUUUAUGUGAGUGUAUUGUGUUUGUCUCCUUUUACCAUAUACAUUUAUCUUGGUUGUAUAUUGAUACUUGGGCCCACAUGGGUGGGUUUACUUAUGUCCACUUGGUGUGGAGUGCUUGCUAGUUAAAACUAACAAAUCUUUUUCACAUCUUUGGAAUUUUUUAAGCAUAUAUAACUUAUUUUAUUCCAUAUCUUAGUGACUUUGGAAUUUUAAGUUGAAUAUAUUUUUUUACUUAUUUUA